RNAcentral lists this ribosomal RNA (244 nucleotides) under Cryptosporidium meleagridis. RNAcentral's name for it is "partial small subunit ribosomal RNA". It matches the Rfam family "Eukaryotic small subunit ribosomal RNA", at positions 391 to 636 of the family's 1831-position model. Lineage: Eukaryota; Apicomplexa; Conoidasida; Eucoccidiorida; Cryptosporidiidae. The record is from RNAcentral.
GGAGCCUGAGAAACGGCUACCACAUCUAAGGAAGGCAGCAGGCGCGCAAAUUACCCACUCCUAAUACAGGGAGGUAGUGACAAGAAAUAACAAUACAGGACUUUUUGGUUUUGUAAUUGGAAUGAGUUAAGUAUAAACCCCUUUACAAGUAUCAAUUGGAGGGCAAGUCUGGUGCCAGCAGCCGCGGUAAUUCCAGCUCCAAUAGCGUAUAUUAAAGUUGUUGCAGUUAAAAAGCUCGUAGUUG